GGCCCCGUCGUCUAGCCAGGUUAGGACACGGGCCUUUCAAGCCCGUAACACGGGUUCAAAUCCCGUCGGGGUCA
Molecule: transfer RNA, 74 nt
Filed under: Planctomycetota bacterium
Lineage: Bacteria; Pseudomonadati; Planctomycetota
Also listed under: 1 other name
Description: Planctomycetes bacterium (hot springs metagenome) tRNA-Glu
Rfam family: tRNA
About the family: Transfer RNA (tRNA) molecules are approximately 80 nucleotides in length. Their secondary structure includes four short double-helical elements and three loops (D, anti-codon, and T loops).
Source: RNAcentral